This 410-nucleotide long non-coding RNA is filed under the name Monodelphis domestica (gray short-tailed opossum). Its description in RNAcentral is "lncRNA (ENSMODG00000043845.1)". Lineage: Eukaryota; Metazoa; Chordata; Mammalia; Didelphimorphia; Didelphidae. The record is from RNAcentral.
ACUCAUUGGCAUUUAGCAUAGAGUUCCGGAGCCCAAAGGUACCUUGAGGAUGAUCUGGUCUAAGGGUUCUGAACCUCCAGGCCGGACUCUCCCAGUGAUAGAUUUCUAAGGGUCCAUGAACAUAGGCGGUACAAAUGGCAUCUUUACUUUCACUAAUCUCUAACUGAGAUGAGCAUUUCUCUUAUUAUUUAAAACCAUUCUUCUGGGGGGCAGCUGGGUGGCUCAGUGGAUUGAGAGUCAGGCCCAUAGAUGGGAGGUCCUGGGUUCAAAUUUGGACUCAGACACUUCCUGGCUGUGUGACUCUGGGCAAGUCACUUAACCCCCAUUGCCUACUUAUCGCUCUUCUGACUCAGAACCAAUAUCCAGUAUUGAAUCUAACAGAGAAGGACAGCUUCCCUGAUUCUUGCUGA